Molecule: unclassified non-coding RNA, 171 nt
Filed under: uncultured Eurotiomycetes
Lineage: Eukaryota; Fungi; Ascomycota; Eurotiomycetes
Description: sequence contains ITS1
Source: RNAcentral
CUGAGUUAGGGUCUCACGGCCCGACCUCCAACCCACGUGUUAAAUUACUAUGUUGCUUUGGCGGGCCCGUCGUUAAGACCGCCGGGGACUUUGGUCUCUGGCCAGCGCCCGCCAAUGGCCCCCUUAAACUCAAUUGAAACAUGUCGAGCUUAGUUAUAUUUUAAUUGUUAA